CAAGUCUUGACAUCCCUCUGAAUCCUCUAGAGAUAGAGGCGGCCUUCGGGACAGAGGUGACAGGUGGUGCAUGGUUGUCGUCAGCUCGUGUCGUGAGAUGUUGGGUUAAGUCCCGCAACGAGCGCAACCCUUGAUUUUAGUUGCCAGCAGGUAAGGCUGGGCACUCUAGAAUGACUGCCGGUGACAAACCGGAGGAAGGCGGGGAUGACGUCAAAUCAUCAUGCCCCUUAUGACUUGGGCUACACACGUACUACAAUGGCUGGUACAACGGGAAGCGAAGCCGCAAGGUGGAGCCAAUCCUAUAAAAGCCAGUCUCAGUUCGGAUUGCAGGCUGCAACUCGCCUGCAUGAAGUCGGAAUUGCUAGUAAUCGCGGAUCAGCAUGCCGCGGUGAAUACGUUCCC
Molecule: ribosomal RNA, 402 nt
Filed under: uncultured bacterium
Lineage: Bacteria
Description: bacterial SSU rRNA
Rfam family: Bacterial small subunit ribosomal RNA
Source: RNAcentral